UACGUAGGGGGCAAACGUUGUCCGGAAUCAUUGGGCGUAAAGCGCGUGUAGGUGGUUUUGCAAGUCAAAUGUUAAAUCCCCGGGCUCAACUCGGGUUCGCGUUUGAUACUGCAAGACUAGAGAAAUGUAGAGGGAAGCGGAAUUACCGGUGUAGCGGUGAAAUGCGUAGAUAUCGGUAGGAACACCAGUGGCGAAGGCGGCUUUCUGGACAUUUUCUGACACUGAGACGCGAGAGCUAGGGGAGCAAACGGG
This 252-nucleotide ribosomal RNA is filed under the name uncultured bacterium. RNAcentral describes it as "partial 16S ribosomal RNA". It matches the Rfam family "Bacterial small subunit ribosomal RNA", at positions 524 to 776 of the family's 1533-position model. The record is from RNAcentral.